This 253-nucleotide ribosomal RNA is filed under the name uncultured bacterium. RNAcentral's name for it is "partial 16S ribosomal RNA". It matches the Rfam family "Bacterial small subunit ribosomal RNA", at positions 524 to 776 of the family's 1533-position model. The record is from RNAcentral.
UACGUAGGGGGCAAGCGUUAUCCGGAUUUACUGGGUGUAAAGGGAGCGUAGACGGCUUUGCAAGCCAGAUGUGAAAGCCCGGGGCUCAACCCCGGGACUGCAUUUGGAACUGUGUGGCUAGAGUGUCGGAGAGGCAGGCGGAAUUCCUAGUGUAGCGGUGAAAUGCGUAGAUAUUAGGAGGAACACCAGUGGCAAAGGCGGCCUGCUGGACGAUGACUGACGUUGAGGCUCGAAAGCGUGGGGAGCAAACAGG